Molecule: unclassified non-coding RNA, 212 nt
Filed under: rhizosphere metagenome
Description: partial ribosomal RNA internal transcribed spacer region
Source: RNAcentral
GUAGGUGAACCUGCGGAGGGAUCAUUACAAGUGACCCCGGUCUUACCACCGGGAUGUUCAUAACCCUUUGUUGUCCGACUCUGUUGCCUCCGGGGCGACCCUGCCUUCGGGCGGGGGCUCCGGGUGGACACUUCAAACUCUUGCGUAACUUUGCAGUCUGAGUAAACUUAAUUAAUAAAUUAAAACUUUUAACAACGGAUCUCUUGGUUCUG